GUGCGAACAGUUGAGAGAAACUCUUCACAUUAUUUUAAAACAUGUGGAGAUUUUUUUUGUUUAGAAACAGCAGACGUAGAGGCUUGGAUAGACAUGGAUUGACCUUUCCUGAGACAAAAUUAGCUAUACCCAUGGAGGCUGGACUUCUAUCAAGUAUGAGAGAAGAAAGUUAUAUACGGCUUCUUGUGACUUCUAUGGCCUGAUACAUAUUGAAAUGUGUUUUAUUGCUAUUCCAUACAGGAGAGAAUAUAAAUU
Molecule: long non-coding RNA, 255 nt
Organism: Dromiciops gliroides (monito del monte)
Lineage: Eukaryota; Metazoa; Chordata; Mammalia; Microbiotheria; Microbiotheriidae
Exons: 3
Source: RefSeq, a predicted model, not a curated record